This 125-nucleotide small RNA is filed under the name Marmota monax (woodchuck). The record is from RNAcentral. Lineage: Eukaryota; Metazoa; Chordata; Mammalia; Rodentia; Sciuridae.
GCUGGGCACAGUGGCGCAUGCCUGUAAUCCCAGAAGCUAGGGAGGCUGAGACAAGAGGAUUGUGAGUUCACAGCCAACCUCAGAAAUGGUGAGGCACUAAGCAACUCAGUGAGACCCUGUCUCUA